This 531-nucleotide ribosomal RNA is filed under the name uncultured bacterium. RNAcentral describes it as "bacterial SSU rRNA". It matches the Rfam family "Bacterial small subunit ribosomal RNA", at positions 977 to 1509 of the family's 1533-position model. The record is from RNAcentral.
GGCCUUGACAUACUAAGAACUUUCCAGAGAUGGAUUGGUGCCUUCGGGAACUUAGAUACAGGUGCUGCAUGGCUGUCGUCAGCUCGUGUCGUGAGAUGUUGGGUUAAGUCCGCAACGAGCGCAACCCUUUUCCUUAUUGCCAGCGGGUAAUGCCGGGAACUUUAAGGAUACUGCCAGUGACAAACUGGAGGAAGGCGGGGACGACGUCAAGUCAUCAUGGCCCUUACGGCCAGGGCUACACACGUGCUACAAUGGUCGGUACAAAGGGUUGCUACCUCGCGAGAGGAUGCUAAUCUCAAAAAGCCGAUCGUAGUCCGGAUCGCAGUCUGCAACUCGACUGCGUGAAGUCGGAAUCGCUAGUAAUCGCGGAUCAGAAUGCCGCGGUGAAUACGUUCCCGGGCCUUGUACACACCGCCCGUCACACCAUGGGAGUUUGUUGCACCAGAAGUAGGUAGUCUAACCGCAAGGAGGACGCUUACCACGGUGUGGCCGAUGACUGGGGUGAAGUCGUAACAAGGUAAGCGUAGAUGA